UACACGAAAGGGCACACAUAAUGAUGACGAGUAGGGCGAGGCACGUGAAACCUUGUCUGAAUAUGGGGGGACCAUCCUCCAAGGCUAAAUACUCCUGACUGACCGAUAGUGAACCAGUACCGUGAGGGAAAGGCGAAAAGAACCCCUGUGAGGGGAGUGAAAUAGAUCCUGAAACCGCAUGCAUACAAGCAGUGGGAGCACCUUCGUGGUGUGACUGCGUACCUUUUGUAUAAUGGGUCAGCGACUUAUAUUCAGUAGCGAGGUUAACCGUAUAGGGGAGCCGUAGAGAAAUCGAGUCUUAAUAGGGCGUUUAGUUGCUGGGUAUAGACCCGAAACCAGGCGAUCUAUCCAUGAGCAGGUUGAAGGUUGGGUAACACUAACUGGAGGACCGAACCCACUGUCGUUGAAAAGCCAGGGGAUGACUUGUGGAUAGGGGUGAAAGGCUAAUCAAGCCUGGUGAUAGCUGGUUCUCCCCGAAAGCUAUUUAGGUAGCGCCUCGGACGAAUACCAUAGGGGGUAGAGCACUGUUUCGGCUAGGGGGUCAUCCCGACUUACCAAACCGAUGCAAACUCCGAAUACCUAUGAGUACUAUCCGGGAGACAGACUGCGGGUGCUAACGUCCGUAGUCAAGAGGAAAACAAUCCAGACCGCCAGCUAAGGCCCCAAAAUCAUAGUUAAGUGGGAAACGAUGUGGGAAGGCAUAGACAGCUAGGAGGUUGGCUUAGAAGCAGCCACCCUUUAAAGAAAGCGUAAUAGCUCACUAGUCGAGUCGGCCUGCGCGGAAGAUGUAACGGGGCUAAAA
This 802-nucleotide ribosomal RNA is filed under the name Acinetobacter baumannii. Its description in RNAcentral is "partial 23S ribosomal RNA". It matches the Rfam family "Bacterial large subunit ribosomal RNA", at positions 376 to 1186 of the family's 2925-position model. The record is from RNAcentral. Lineage: Bacteria; Pseudomonadati; Pseudomonadota; Gammaproteobacteria; Moraxellales; Moraxellaceae.